RNAcentral lists this ribosomal RNA (429 nucleotides) under Actinomycetes bacterium. RNAcentral's name for it is "Actinobacteria bacterium partial 16S ribosomal RNA". It matches the Rfam family "Bacterial small subunit ribosomal RNA", at positions 355 to 776 of the family's 1533-position model. Lineage: Bacteria; Bacillati; Actinomycetota; Actinomycetes. The record is from RNAcentral.
UAGGGAAUCUUCCGCAAUGGGCGAAAGCUUGACGGAGCAACGCCGCGUGAGUGAUGAAGGUCUUCGGAUCGUAAAACUCUGUUAUUAGGGAAGAACAAAUGUGUAAGUAACUAUGCACGUCUUGACGGUACCUAAUCAGAAAGCCACGGCUAACUACGUGCCAGCAGCCGCGGUAAUACGUAGGUGGCAAGCGUUAUCCGGAAUUAUUGGGCGUAAAGCGCGCGUAGGCGGUUUUUUAAGUCUGAUGUGAAAGCCCACGGCUCAACCGUGGAAGGUCAUUGGAAACUGGAGAACUUGAGUGCAGAGGAGGAAAGUGGAAUUCCAUGUGUAGCGGUGAAAUGCGAAGAGAUGUGGAGGAACACCGGUGGCGAAGGCGACUUUCUGGUCUGUAACUGACGCUGAUGUGCGAAAGCGUGGGGAUCAAACAGG